This 17-nucleotide small RNA is filed under the name Arabidopsis thaliana (thale cress). RNAcentral describes it as "ATSL252430". The record is from RNAcentral. Lineage: Eukaryota; Viridiplantae; Streptophyta; Magnoliopsida; Brassicales; Brassicaceae.
CAAGACGAUAAAAAAAA